This 777-nucleotide ribosomal RNA is filed under the name uncultured Neocallimastigales. Its description in RNAcentral is "partial large subunit ribosomal RNA". It matches the Rfam family "Eukaryotic large subunit ribosomal RNA", at positions 20 to 616 of the family's 3401-position model. Lineage: Eukaryota; Fungi; Neocallimastigomycota; Neocallimastigomycetes; Neocallimastigales. The record is from RNAcentral.
UACUAGAGUAGCACUCGCAUAUCAAUAAGCGGAGGAAAAGAAACUAACAAGGAUUCCCCUAGUAACGGCGAGUGAAGCGGGAAGAGCUCAAAUUUGAAAUCUUAAAGGGUUUCCCUUUACGAAUUGUAGUUUAAAGAAGUGUUUUCUGUUGAGGUUUUGGUAAAAGUUCUUUGGAAUAGGACAUCAUAGAGGGUGAGAAUCCCGUAUUUGACCUUUACUUUCAACUUUGUGAUACACUUUCAAAGAGUCGGAUUGUUUGGGAAUGCAGUCCAAAAUGGGUGGUAAAUUUCAUCUAAAGCUAAAUAUUGGCGAGAGACCGAUAGCGAACAAGUACCGUGAGGGAAAGAUGAAAAGGACUUUGAAAAGAGAGUUAAACAGUAGCGUGAAAUUGUCAAAAGGGAAGCGUUUAUGACACCAGUGUUGUUUUUCUGAAAAUCAAUUAAAGAACUGUUUAUGCUAAGCUGUUUAGACUUUAUCAGCUAUCUGUUUAGUUUUGAGCUUUUCUUUAAUGCACUUUUCAGUUAACAAGUCAACAUCAAUUUCUUUUGCUGUAAAAAAGCUUGAGGAAGGUGGCUUGAGAUUCGUCUUAAGUGUUUAUAGCCUCUUGCCUAUGCAGUCGGAGAGAUUGAGGUCUGCAGCGUAGAUCCUUCGGGGCUAAAUGCAUUUGUGCUAAGUUAUAGCAUUUUAUAGACAACUUGUUGACUAUGAUUUGUCUUGUAGCUUACUCGCUUAUGUUAUUUUACCUACGCUUAGGAUGUUGAGCGCAUGUCUCUCUCU